CGCCGGGCAACUAAACAACUACCAGGAUUAAAGAAUUUAACAUACUCAGAAAGACUGCGAAAAUUAAAACUACCAUCUCUAAAUUUCAGACGGGUCCGAGGUGACAUGAUUGAAUUAUAUAAAAUACUGGACGGAAAAUAUGAUAAAGAGGCGGCACAAUUUGUUAAAUUAUGGAAGGAUAUGACUACAAGAACAGGGGUACGCGGCAACAGUCUGAAAAUAUAUCCACAGAGAGCAAGAACAGAAUUAAGGAGAAAUGCUUUUGCUCUAUGAGUGGUGAGAACAUGGAAUACACUACCCGAAAUUAUAGUGACAUCACCAACCACAAAUACAUUUAAGAAUAGACUAGACAAAUACUGGAUGAACCAAACAAUGGUGUACGAAGACUAUAAAUCAACAAUCACCGGAAGUGGAGAAGAUUUAGAUAUAGAGAUUGAUGAAGAGGAGCUUUAGUUCCUGUAUCAGUAAAAGAAC
RNAcentral lists this long non-coding RNA (474 nucleotides) under Mytilus galloprovincialis (Mediterranean mussel). Lineage: Eukaryota; Metazoa; Mollusca; Bivalvia; Mytilida; Mytilidae. The record is from RNAcentral.